AGAUUGGUGCUUCUUUUCCUUUUCUAAAAUAAAAAUUGAUCUUUGAGUUAUGUUAGUCAGAUAUGAUUAUUAUGCCAGACUAUAUCAUCAGCAAGGUGUUUUUAGUACCAAAUGAUGAAUAUUUCAACCACUAUUUGGCGUACUAUGUACUCAUGAAAUACACUCCAAGGAAACAAGCGCCUACAAGUUGUCCCUCUAAAAUUAAGUUAGGUAUGUGGCAUGCAAGCAGAGGAGAGGAUGAACUUGAGAAUUAC
Molecule: non-coding RNA, 254 nt
Organism: Triticum urartu
Lineage: Eukaryota; Viridiplantae; Streptophyta; Magnoliopsida; Poales; Poaceae
Source: RefSeq, a predicted model, not a curated record